AGUAAUGUAUGGGGAUCUGCCUGAUGGCGGGGGGUAACUACUGGAAACGGUAGCUAAUACCGCAUAACGUCGCAAGACCAAAGAGGGGGACCUUCGGGCCUCUUGCCAUCGGAUGUGCCCAGAUGGGAUUAGCUAGUAGGUGGGGUAACGGCUCACCUAGGCGACGAUCCCUAGCUGGUCUGAGAGGAUGAUCAGCCACACUGGGACUGAGACACGGCCCAG
RNAcentral lists this ribosomal RNA (222 nucleotides) under uncultured bacterium. RNAcentral's name for it is "partial 16S ribosomal RNA". It matches the Rfam family "Bacterial small subunit ribosomal RNA", at positions 109 to 334 of the family's 1533-position model. The record is from RNAcentral.